CGGUGUUCAACUGGCGUGCCCGCGGGACGUCCUGCCGGUGAGCUCAGCCCGCGAGGGCGGCUCAACUUGAAAUCCCAUCGCGGUGCUCUUCAUUGAGUGUCGAGGUGGGCCGGCACGAUUACUUUUGAACAAAUUAGAGUGCUUAAAGCAGGCUAAAAUUUUGCCUGAAUACUGUGUAUAUGGAAUAAUGGAAUAGAACCUCGGUUCUAUUUUGUUGGUUUUCGGAACCCCGAGGUAAUGAUUAAUAGGAACGGAUGGGGGCAUUCGUAUUGCGACGUUAGAGGUGAAAUUCUUGGAUCGUCGCAAGACGGACUAAAGCGAAAGCAUUUGCCAAAAACGCUUUCAUUGAUCAAGAACGAAAGUUAGAGGUUCGAAGGCGAUCAGAUACCGCCCUAGUUCUAACCAUAAACUAUGCCAGCUAGCGAUCCGCCGACGUCCCUCUGAUGACUCGGCGGGCAGCUUCCGGGAAACCAAAGCUUUUGGGUUCCGGGGGAAGUAUGGUUGCAAAGCUGAAACUUAAAGGAAUUGACGGAAGGGCACCACCAGGAGUGGAGCCUGCGGCUUAAUUAGACUCAACACGGGAAACCUCACCAGGCCCAGACACUGGAAGGAUUGACAGAUUGAGAGCUCUUUCUUGAUUCAGUGGGUGGUGGUGCAUGGCCGUUCUUAGUCGGUGGAGCGAUUUGUCAGGUUAAUUCCGAUAACGGACGAGACUCUGACCUGAUAACUAGACGCACUUGCGGCAUCUCAAAGGUCCGCCGGCGGCUGGCUUUGCGCCCGUCGUCGCGCGCGAUUUUUACUGCCGGCGUACAAUAAAUUCUUCUUAGAGGGACAAGUGG
Molecule: ribosomal RNA, 839 nt
Filed under: uncultured eukaryote
Lineage: Eukaryota
Description: SSU rRNA
Rfam family: Eukaryotic small subunit ribosomal RNA
Source: RNAcentral